CCUACGGGAGGCAGCAGUCGAGAAUCAUUCACAAUGGGGGAAACCCUGAUGGUGCGACGCCGCGUGGGGGAAUGAAGGUCUUCGGAUUGUAAACCCCUGUCAUGUGGGAGAAAAUUAAAAAGAUAGUACCACAAGAGGAAGAGACGGCUAACUCUGUGCAAGCAGCCGCGGUAAUACAGAGGUCUCAAGCGUUGUUCGGAAUCACUGGGCGUAAAGCGUGCGUAGGCUGUUUCGUAAGUCGUGUGUGAAAGGCGAGGGCUCAACCCGCGGACGGCACAUGAUACUGCGAGACUAGAGUAAUGGAGGGUGAACCGGAAUUCUCGGUGUAGCAGUGAAAUGCGUAGAUAUCGAGAGGAACACUCGUGGCGAAGGCGGGUUCCUGGACAUUAACUGACGCUGAGGCACGAAGGCCAGGGGAGCGAAAGGGAUUAGAUACCCGAUAGUC
This 445-nucleotide ribosomal RNA is filed under the name uncultured bacterium. Its description in RNAcentral is "partial 16S ribosomal RNA". It matches the Rfam family "Bacterial small subunit ribosomal RNA", at positions 338 to 795 of the family's 1533-position model. The record is from RNAcentral.